CCUCACCCCCCUAGUGGAGUGGAAGCAGAAUCAUUGUCUACCUCCUACUGUGACACCUGGGCUGUCCUACACUGUCAAGACCAUUGACUUGGUUUUACCAAUGAGAAGAAAGAAGGCGAAAGGUGAUGUGCCUGACGUCAUGAUCCCGGGAGAGGAUGACCUGGAAUCUAUCACCAGGUCUCCGACAGCCCAGCCUCCUUCCGGUUCCUCCCCGCAGCUCCUCCCUGCACACUCUGGGCCUCUCCAUGAAGAAUGCGGUAGCAGGAGGCCAUCUCGAAAAAUCCCUCUACUAUGCUCAAGAAUAUCAGAGAGAGAAUCAGUUCACACUUGAUGCUUAUUGAUCAGCUUCUCCCUAAGAAAUUUAUGCCAGAAUGACAUAAUAAUAAUUCGAAAAAGGAAAAUGUGUAAGGAAAAUGAAUAUCUAAUUAUUAAAUAUUCAUAUUGUGUUCAUUUUAUUUUGAUCGUUAAUCUUUACUGUCUGUGUGCAAGAAAAAUUAGGGCAAAGAUCAUUCGAAGAAAGACAAUUAUUUUAGAAAUUAUCCUAACGUCAAAUGAAGAUGGUCUGAAAGAAGGAAGUGACAGAAAAUAAAAAGGAAGGUGUUUUUUUUUAGAAAACA
RNAcentral lists this long non-coding RNA (617 nucleotides) under Sus scrofa (pig). RNAcentral's name for it is "lncRNA (ENSSSCG00055005434.1)". The record is from RNAcentral. Lineage: Eukaryota; Metazoa; Chordata; Mammalia; Artiodactyla; Suidae.